Molecule: ribosomal RNA, 508 nt
Filed under: uncultured bacterium
Lineage: Bacteria
Description: partial 16S ribosomal RNA
Rfam family: Bacterial small subunit ribosomal RNA
Source: RNAcentral
GACGAACGCUGGCGGCGUGCCUAAUACAUGCAAGUCGAACGCUUCUUUCCUCCCGAGUGCUUGCACUCAAUUGGAAAGAGGAGUGGCGGACGGGUGAGUAACACGUGGGUAACCUACCCAUCAGAGGGGGAUAACACUUGGAAACAGGUGCUAAUACCGCAUAACAGUUUAUGCCGCAUGGCAUAAGAGUGAAAGGCGCUUUCGGGUGUCGCUGAUGGAUGGACCCGCGGUGCAUUAGCUAGUUGGGGAGGUAACGGCUCACCAAGGCCACGAUGCAUAGCCGACCUGAGAGGGUGAUCGGCCACACUGGGACUGCGACACGGCCCAGACUCCUACGGGAGGCAGCAGUAGGGAAUCUUCGGCAAAGGACGAAAGUCUGACCGAGCAACGCCGCGUGAGUGAAGAAGGUUUUCGGAUCGUAAAACUCUGUUGUUAGAGAAGAACAAGGACGUUAGUAACUGAACGUCCCCUGACGGUAUCUAACCAGAAAGCCACGGCUAACUACGUG